Molecule: ribosomal RNA, 253 nt
Filed under: uncultured bacterium
Lineage: Bacteria
Description: partial 16S ribosomal RNA
Rfam family: Bacterial small subunit ribosomal RNA
Source: RNAcentral
UACGAGAGCCUCGAGCGUUAUCCGGAAUUACUGGGCGUAAAGCGCGCGUAGGCGGCUUUGUAAGUUAGAGGUGAAAGCCCGGAGCUCAACUCCGGAACUGCCUUUAAAACUGCAUCGCUUGAAUCCAGGAGAGGUGAGUGGAAUUCCGAGUGUAGAGGUGAAAUUCGUAGAUAUUCGGAAGAACACCAGUGGCGAAGGCGGCUCACUGGACUGGUAUUGACGCUGAGGUGCGAGAGCGUGGGGAGCAAACAGG